CCUACGGGUGGCAGCAGUGAGGAAUAUUGGUCAAUGGGCGCGAGCCUGAACCAGCCAAGUAGCGUGAAGGAUGACUGCCCUACGGGUUGUAAACUUCUUUUAUAAAGGAAUAAAGUGAGGCACGUGUGCCUUUUUGUAUGUACUUUAUGAAUAAGGAUCGGCUAACUCCGUGCCAGCAGCCGCGGUAAUACGGAGGAUCCGAGCGUUAUCCGGAUUUAUUGGGUUUAAAGGGAGCGUAGAUGGGUUGUUAAGUCAGUUGUGAAAGUUUGCGGCUCAACCGUAAAAUUGCAAUUGAUACUGGAAGUCUUGAGUACAGGUGAGGCAGGCGGAAUGCGUGGUGUAGCGGUGAAAUGCUUAGAUAUAACGCAGAACCCCGAUUGCGAAGGCGGCCUGCCAAGCCAUGACUGACGCUGAUGCACGAAAGCGUGGGGAUCAAACAGGAUUAGAUACCCUGGUAGUC
Molecule: ribosomal RNA, 460 nt
Filed under: uncultured bacterium
Lineage: Bacteria
Description: partial 16S ribosomal RNA
Rfam family: Bacterial small subunit ribosomal RNA
Source: RNAcentral